This 775-nucleotide ribosomal RNA is filed under the name uncultured Neocallimastigales. RNAcentral's name for it is "partial large subunit ribosomal RNA". It matches the Rfam family "Eukaryotic large subunit ribosomal RNA", at positions 23 to 638 of the family's 3401-position model. The record is from RNAcentral. Lineage: Eukaryota; Fungi; Neocallimastigomycota; Neocallimastigomycetes; Neocallimastigales.
GAGACUCUGUGCGCGUGCAUAUCAAUAAGCGGAGGAAAAGAAACUAACAAGGAUUCCCCUAGUAACGGCGAGUGAAGCGGGAAGAGCUCAAAUUUGAAAUCUUAAAGGGUUUCCCUUUACGAAUUGUAGUUUAAAGAAGUGUUUUCUGUUGGAGUUUCGGUAAAAGUUCUUUGGAAUAGGACAUCAUAGAGGGUGAGAAUCCCGUAUUUGACCGUUACUUUCCAGCUGUGUGAUACACUUUCAAAGAGUCGGAUUGUUUGGGAAUGCAGUCCAAGAUGGGUGGUAAAUUUCAUCUAAAGCUAAAUAUUGGCGAGAGACCGAUAGCGGACAAGUACCGUGAGGGAAAGAUGAAAAGAACUUUGAAAAGAGAGUUAAACAGUACGUGAAAUUGUCAAAAGGGAAGCGUUUGACACCAGUGUUGUUUAGUUGAAAAUCAAUUCAAUAGUUUUUGAUUCUAAGUAGUAUUGACUUCAUCAGCUUGCUGCUUUCUUCCCAGAAAUUAUUGAAUGCACUUUUCAGUUAACAAGUCAACAUCAAUUUCUUUUGUUGUAAAAGGGUAAGAGGAAGGUGGCUUGCGCUUCGGCUCAAGUGUUUAUAGCCUUUUAUCUCUGCAAUCGGAGAGAUUGAGGUCUGCAGCGUAGAUCCUUCGGGGUUAGAUACAUUGGUGCUAAGCUAUAGCCUUGUAUAGACAACUUGUUGACUAUGCUCAGUCAUGUAGCUUACUCGCUGAUGCUAUUUUACCUACGCUUAGGAUGUUGACAGCAGUAUAGACUGU